CCUACGGGAGGCAGCAGUGGGGGAUAUUGCACAAUGGGGGGAACCCUGAUGCAGCGACGCCGCGUGGGUGAAGAAGCGCCUCGGCGCGUAAAGCCCUGUCAGCAGGGAAGAAAAUGACGGUACCUGAAGAAGAAGCCCCGGCUAACUACUUGCCAGCAGCCGCGGUAAUACGUAGGGGGCAAGCGUUAUCCGGAUUUACUGGGGGUAAAGGGGGCGCAGACGGCGAUGCAAGCCAGGAGUGAAAGCCCGGGGCCCAACCCCGGGACUGGUCUUGGAACUGCGUGGCUUGAGUGCAGGAGGGGCAGGCGGAAUUGCCGGUGUAGCGGUGGAAUGCGUAGAUAUCAGGAGGAACACCGGUGGCGAAGGCGGCCUGCUGGACUGCAACUGACGUUGAGGCCCGAAAGCGUGGGGAGCAAACAGGAUUAGAUACCCGAGUAGUC
RNAcentral lists this ribosomal RNA (440 nucleotides) under uncultured bacterium. RNAcentral describes it as "partial 16S ribosomal RNA". It matches the Rfam family "Bacterial small subunit ribosomal RNA", at positions 338 to 795 of the family's 1533-position model. The record is from RNAcentral.